RNAcentral lists this ribosomal RNA (253 nucleotides) under uncultured bacterium. Its description in RNAcentral is "partial 16S ribosomal RNA". It matches the Rfam family "Bacterial small subunit ribosomal RNA", at positions 524 to 776 of the family's 1533-position model. The record is from RNAcentral.
UACAGAGGUCUCGAGCGUUAGGCGGAAUCACUGGGCUUAAAGCGUGUGUAGGCGGAUCGUUAAGUACCUUGUGAAAUCCCACGGCUUAACCGUGGAACUGCUUGGUAUACUGGCGGUCUUGAGCCAGCUAGGGGCUACCGGAACAAAUGGUGGAGCGGUGAAAUGCGUAGAGAUCGGGAGGAACACCAGUGGCGAAGGCGGCUACCUGGACCAGCACUGACACUGAAGCACGAAAGCGUGGGGAGCAAACAGG